Molecule: long non-coding RNA, 7193 nt
Organism: Dunckerocampus dactyliophorus (ringed pipefish)
Lineage: Eukaryota; Metazoa; Chordata; Actinopteri; Syngnathiformes; Syngnathidae
Exons: 4
Source: RefSeq, a predicted model, not a curated record
UUUUAUGAUAUUUGAUAUUGGUAUUUGAUAUUUUAUUUCAAAGUAAUUGUGGUCAAUAUGUAAAAAUAGGCUAUAAGUGUAUCAGUAUAACACAGAGGAGCUCAAACUGUUUCAGCCUGUGGGCUACUUUUAAUAUGAGCAUGUUCCAAAGGUCUCCCUCUACCUAGUUGUGUACGUAAACUGUGUAGUAUGUCAGUGAAAAUAGCUACGUAGCGUCGAUUAUACGCACACUUCAUGUAUUACGUCCAGUUAGCAUUUGCUAGCAAACAUUACAAAUACUGUACACGAGAAAUGAAAAGGGUUAUGCACAAGACAAUGCAGCCGACGUCAUGACGACAUAUUUAAAAGCUUUCAGCAAUGGACACAUUUUCCAAUUCAUCGUGAAAUAGUCGUUUGACGGACGAACUUGGAGAAAACACAUUUCUGAAGCACAAGAGCGAAUCAGGAGGGGGCUUAAUGUCAGCUGACUGAUGUCAUAUGACACAUACAAAGUGACGGUUAUGAUGGAGGUGACACACGACCAACGCUACCUUUGCAAUCGCCGUAAUGGGCACCCCCGAUGCAGCAUAUACUGUAUGUCCAUUCAUACAGUGUAUUACUUAACAUGUUUUUACGUUAAUAAAAUAAAAUUCCAAGGUGUGGCGGCUUUUAUUGUACCGUGGCGUUGUGCCACGAUCCAUUACAUGUGGCGGAAACCCUGCAGUUGUCAUAAAAGUUAUCUACGACAGUCAGGAUUGUUACGACAAAAAAUGUUCACAACGGCCACAGUUUCACCCUGGAACGGAUUAUUGACUGUGGAAAAAAUGACAUUGCUAUUUUGAGUUAACCCGCAUGUCUUUUUUUUUUUUUUUUUAAACUUAUCCUCUUUGCUCUUCCUCCCAGUGAGCUCCUCCUAAAGCCCCAGUAAUCGUCCUCGUCCCGAGACCCCCCACCUCCUGAUCCACCUUAACAGGUGACUGACCCCUGCUAAAACCAUUAACACAGGCAGCUAGUGAGACGCCUACGACACGUGCCCACUCUCACAGGCUGAAACAGAACAGGGACUAUGUGUUUUUCCCAGAGACGUUGAAGGUGAAAGUAGGAUGACUCACCCUGGUCCAUCCUUGUGAGGCCUUCGUAAGAACAAAGGAAACAAUAAGUUAGCUGCUCUGUACGGUGAUCGGUGGUAAACAUCCACUAUAUGGGAUUAGGUUAAAGCACGCGAGAGAAACUGACCUGAAGUCCAUCACAGACACGCUCUUAAACCCAGGAAGUCCCGCCAGGGCAUCCUCAAUCUGCAGACACACACUCCAUGACUCAUUCAGUACCAUUAUUACCAUAAAAGGGAGCCAUUUAAGACGCCUGAGAGCCAAAGCAAGAGUCAAAAUGCAUAUUUAAGCAAAUGUACACAUACUUAAAGUAAGCAUUUUCACACAUAAGAGUGGCUAAAUGAACUAAAAUACAAAUACAGUAUAAGCCAUGAAGACCACCAACUUGUGAAUGUAGUACUCUACAUUGGUCACUAGGUGUCAGUAAUCAUUCGGUGAGACCACCACCGAAGCGCCAGACUUGAACAACCGGCUUUUAUUGCAGAUUUUAAUUAUUUCACAACCGGGACAAUAAUAAUAAUCAUAAUACUAACACGAGUUACUGUUGCUACCGUAGCCCACAACAAGCUAAAUCUCAACGCUGAACUGCUGACGUGUGUUUGACUGGCUAAGGAGUGGGAAUGUGUCAUUGCCAUUGCUAGGUGUUAGCACGAGCCUCUUUCCUGGCAGGCUUGUGUGCGCUGGCAGUGUUCAUAACGGAAUACUAACAGCAACAAAAAAGAGCAAAGUGAUGGAACCUUCUGUGCCAGCUGCCUGCUGAGCGCCUGGUAGUGUAGCGAGUCGGGGUCAUCCAGGUCGUGGUCGUACAUGACGCCUGUCAGGAGGAUGCUCAGCUCUACCACCUGCUCCAACACGGCUGGCGCCAGAGGCUCCACGGGAAUGUCGUUGUCCAGCUGUGGCGGCAAGUCAGCAGGAAAGUCACCUUUGGAAGGAGCCGUGGAAGCGUUGGUCGUAUCCGGAGCUGCAGUGCUGGGAAUACAACAGAAAUGGAAAAGCAGCAAGAGGAUCUAUUUAGUUCAAGGGGACUUCCAAGGGGACACACAAUGGAGGUGCUGGAUGGAAGGAUGGCUGCUGGACCGUCUAAAGAGCUUAUCCGACUGCUGUUUGUCCACCUGGAUCAGCCUGCUGGGCAUUUUGCCUGGUGCUCCUCUGAUUGGCUGAAGUAGGUGCCAAUGUCUUGUGCUGUGACCUCCCCCUCCUGGCAUUGGUUCAUCCAGCUCUGAUACUCCUCUUGGUCAGGGAGGCGGUCCCAGAAGAUUUUGAAAGCCUCCCACACGGUCUCCUGGCACACUGAAGCAUAAAAGUCAAUGGUUGGUUGCUAGUUAGUUCAUGCUGUUUUUAAACACCUGCUGCAAAAAUCCUCUCCAUGACAGGAGCGCCCAAGCUUUUUAAGGACAUACGACAAAAAACAGCACUGAUAAAUCCUCUGUUUUUGGAAAUCGACUGCAAAAGCACUAGUCAAAGAUAAGUUUGACCUCAACUUGAAGGCCGGUCUCAUGUCAUUUAAAGACCAGAUUUGGCCCUCGGGCCACCGUUUUAUCUGAUCGAUAGAGUACUGUAAUGAUGACAAACAACUGACCUCUAAGAUGGAAGAAGCUGAGAUGGUUGGCGACGGCCUGCUUGGCGGUCUCCUGUGCACACAGCUUGACUCCACUCGGGAAAAGGAUGCUGCGUUUGCGUCGGGACAGCGCCACGCGGCUUCCUCGGGACACCUUGACGUCGGAUAUGCGGACCACCCGCUGGAACGGUGCCGGUUCCCCGCUGUAAGGCAGAUCUAGCGGACCCAUUGAGGAUCCUUCUGGUGUUGCAUCUGGUAGGAUUGCAGAAAAAACUUCAGACUUGGAUGAAAAUCCUAAGAUGUUUUUGGGGUAAAGAUGUACAUACCUGUCCUUAGGUCCAAAAACAGGACUACAAAGCUAAAGAAGACAGAGUACAAAAGACAUCUCCACGACAACAUUUUAAAUCCUUGUUUAGAUCCUCAAACUUCCUCUCAGAUGUUGCAAUGGCACCUCCCAAGUUUGCAUAGUUCACAGCCUUCCAGGUGCAGGAGAACGACGAAGAACCCUGAAACGGAACAACUGCUUGUUCUUUUCCCUGCAAAGACGGAGUCUCUCCUGUGGCAUGUUGCUGAGAAGACACCUUCCUGGCUCAAGCUAAGUGGGCAGAUGGCUCCUAGGUGGAUUUUUGAACGCACUAAUCCCGUUUAGCCUUAAAGCCUUUUAGAGGAGCUCGCCAAGAAGUUACUGGAGCAGCAAGGGAGAAGAGAAGGUGCUUAGUGAUGGAGGGAACGUGGACAAAAACUCAGUCCAGGGAAGGUUGUGCACUGCUUUGUUGGACUCACCCUACUUACCUUCUAUUGAUGGCCUUCCAUGCCAAAGUGUUCCAGAAGGUUCACUGCUUGGUGGAGGGAUGGUUAGCACUUCAGCAAGAAGGCAAAACUGAAAAACCAACUGUUGCAUGUGUAAACCUCUGAACAGAUCGAAAUGGCCAACACUGUGAUGUGACAACUAGCAAUGAACUACUACUAAAGAAUAAACAACUAAUAAAACAGGUUUAUUACACUAAACUUGCAAAAUGACAGUAGCUAUAUUUAGGUGUUAAAAAUGGCAAAACCAACAAGAGGUGAUGACUAUUUGGGCCACACCAGAGAGAAAAAAAAGAAGCUUGAAGUCACAAUUGAGAAUAUCCCCAUCCUACAGUAACUUACUGGCUCCCGGUCAAGCAGAGAAUAGACUACAAACUCCUCCUACAUACCUUCAAGGUCAUACACAACCUCAGCCCUCCGUACCUGACUGACCUCCACAUUGCCACUCCAGCUCCGUCCCUCAGAUCCUCCUCCUCCUCCAUUCACCUCACUGUGCCCUCUGCCUGCCUCAGCACCAUGGGGAGCAGAGCUCUCGGCCGCUCUGCUCCCCAACUCUGGAAGUCAGUGCCAACUGACAUCAGAAAUAUUGACUCACUCCCCAUCUUCAUAUCCAGACUCAAAACUCAUCUGUUCAAGACUAAAUACUCACUUUGACUCGUUCAUGCUUUUAUCCUUUGUUGUUUUAUCUGGAUCAUGUGUGGUGCCCUUGGGGUUUUAGAAAGGUUCUUAUAAAUUCAAUAUAUUAUUAUUAUUAUUAUUAUUAUGAUUCCAUCGGGGGUUCAGAAUUGGUUUUCUCAUGUUUAUAGUAUGUUAUAGUAUGUUACUAUUAUUGUGCCUGUUGUGAGAUAAUUUAGAUUAAUUUAAAAUACUACAUUCAUAAAUUGAACAAGUGUUCUUAAUCGUUUAGGUAUAUUUGUAUUUUGGUUCAUUUAGCCAUUUUUAAUUUAGCUUAAUUUGGGCAAAAAAUAUGUACAAUAUGCAUAUUUUUUCAGUAACAAUAGGCCGUAUUCAACCACAGAACAGCAUAAUUAAUUGAUUUAUGUUUGAGAAAACACGAUAGAGUGAAGCCGUGAAAUUAGAACCCCGAUGUGGCGAGGGACGUUGUGUUUUAGGUAAACCAAGAUAUUCACACACAUCAGCUUGGACUUUGGAAAACUGAUCAACAUUUUUGCCUCUUUUCUGAUAUGUUGCGGACCUGUUGGAUCAUACUGAUUAGGUCCAUCUAGGGCGUAAGCAACUACUACAGCAAGUUUCCGAUUGACUAUGAAAAUAAUCGUUAGUUGCAGCUCUAGUAUUAUGUAAAUCAAUUAUGGAAUUGCUUGUUUUCAUUAUUCUGGAUAUGUAUGCAAUUAUGUCACAAUAUUAGGGACACUCCGAUCGAUCGGCCACUGCUACUGAGAAAUGCCUUUCUCUGCCGAUCACGAAAAACAAUCACCUGUGGCUCGCACUAUUGCAUCCUGUAGCCAUCCCUGUGUGCAGUGUAGUGUCCCCCUCACCCUCGCCUUCCACACUGCAGACAUACGCUGGCAAACACGCCUGCUGUGUUGAACAUACAGUAUAUGCCAUCCUGCAACACAUGCCACAAAAAAUAUGUUGCUGGGGUUGCGUGUUUAAAAGCUUCAAUUUAAUAUGGCAUUUGAAGAAGAAACACUCGAUGGGAGUAUGGUCACAGGGCAGCAAGUCAAACGGGAGUUCACGUUGUGGUUGUGCGUGACAGUCAGAAGGCUAAGCAAAUCACCCGAAAAAUCAUUGAAUUAAUUGGACUCGAUAACCAGCCUUCCUCAGCGGUCAAAGACACCGGGGUUCUGCCAACUGGUCUCGUAGGUAAAAUAUGUUGUCUAAAUUAAGGUGAUCCUAUGGUUCCUUCUUUCAGAUCGUGUAACCAAUAGAAGGGGUGCAGCCAGGAAUUCUUUUUCAUUCUUGCGUAGGAACCCUGCUAGUUGUUAAGUAAAGCUAAUAUUAUAUUUGAAUCUUGCAACAUGACGACUUUUUUCUCGUAAUAUUAUGAUUUUAUUUGCGUAUAUUGCAAAUUUCCUCCUAAUAUUUCCCUUUUAUUCUCAUAACUCACGACUUUUUAACAAACGUUAUUCUCACAACUUGAAGACACCUGUGACCCUAAGACCCAAAUACUAAUACAAGUUGGCCGAAUGAAUGGAAAAUGACUGAAAUAAAAUGAUUUCGAGAUAAAACAGCUUUAUGUUACACAAACUACAUUUGGAACAUGUUACACCUUGAACACACUUUAGUUUGACGUGGUGAUCGCAUGUAGAAAUUAAAUAUCUAUAAAAAAUAACAGUAAAACAUCCUAUAAAAAGCUUGAGGACCGAGAGGCUCCACUGUUCAUGAAGACGAGUCCACAGUUCAAGGAGAUGAGUCCAUAGUUCAGUUUGGUGGAGUUCAUGCUGAAAUGCGUCGCUCAGUAUGAGCGAGGAUUCCCUUGUGCUACGACUCCUGCUCUUACUUUUUGCUCAGGCUCUGCUGUCGGUAGAGUCGCAGCACCAGAUUGCGGAUUUCGUCUCGUUUACCGCGCACGUGAUGACGCGGAAACCAGCGCUGCAGGUGUAAUGGCAGGUCAAAGUGCACCACGGGGUCCUACAGGCACAAGAAACACACAAUUUAAUACACAAAUUUGAUUUAGCACGAGUUUCAUCUCUUAAUAUUUAAACUUUUUUCUUGUAAUAUUUCAACUACAUUUGUGAAAUUACGUGUUGAUUCUUGCAAACUGACAUUUGUUCCUCAAGCAUCAUCACAAAUGUUUUGUUGUCUCACUCCCCCUUCUUGCUUUUCCAUAUUGUAGCUCUACUUAAAACCUCAUUAAGAUCCAAAUGUGCAAAAUACUUUCUGCUUCUUUCUGCUUUAGUUUUCCAAUUUUGCUGUUUCUUAAAAAUGUUUUUUCUGCAACAAGCCAUGUUCCACAGAUGGUCCCUUUUAACUUUUGACUUUAUUAGUCGCUAAGUGACCAUUUUAUUCUGGUAAAAGUAACUUGUCUCUUGUAAUAUGACUUAAUUCAUGCAAAAUGACUUUAUUUUUGCAUGACGUGUUUGUUCUCAGGCCGCACGGUGGCCGAGUGGUUAGCAUGUUGGCCACACAGUCAGGAGAGGUUCAAAUGUCAGUUGGGCAUUUCUGUGUGGAGUUUGCAUGUUCUCCCCGUGCGUGUGUGGGUUUCCUCCCACAUUCCAAAAACAUGCAUGUUAGCUUCAUUGGAGCAAUUAGCUAAAUUGUCCAUAGGUAUGAAUGUGAGUGUGAAUGGUUGUUUGUCUAUAUGUGCCCUGCCAUUGGCUGGCCACCAGUCCAGGUUGGACCCCGCCUCUCGCCCCAAGUCAAGUAGGAUAGGCUCCAGCAUACCUGUGACCCUAGUGAGGAUAAGCGGCAUAGAAGAUGGAUGGAUGGAUGUUUAUUCUCACAAAUGACCACUUUUCUUGUAGUAUCACAACUUUAUUCUAACAAAAUGACAACUUUAGUCUUGGAAUGUUUUGACUAUCCGUGGGAAAUUACAACUUUUUUCCACUGGUUUUCUUUUUGUAAUAUUUUAACCUAAUUCUCAAAUAUAUAUUUUGUUUUGUAAUAUUACAACUUUAUUCUUGCAAAAUUGUAAAUCUAUUUUCGUAAAUGUAUAACUUAAUUCCUGCAAAACCACAAACUUUUCCCUGCGAUAUUAUGACCUUUUUGGUGACCCAUGACAAAAAAUGACAUAAUUGCAUAGCCUACCUUGAGAAAACUCUCCACAUACUGCAGCAAGU